Camelus dromedarius (Arabian camel) is the source of this 4092-nucleotide long non-coding RNA. The record is from Ensembl. Lineage: Eukaryota; Metazoa; Chordata; Mammalia; Artiodactyla; Camelidae.
GUAAGAAAUGAUUUCAAACCUUUGAAAACACUUUUACAAAUUGAUAUUUGUGAAGAUGUGAAGAUCAAAUGCAGCAAACAGUUUUUCCACAAGUUGGAUGACCUUAUGUGCAGGGAGCUUAAUAAAAAGAAUAUCCAAGCUGUUUCAACCAUUUUGGUUUCUUUUGGAAGAUGUGGCAAAAAUAUCAGUAUAUUGGGACAAGCUGGACUUCUGACUAUGAUAAAACAAGGACUAGUCCAAAAGAUAAGUCUAGAUAAUAAAAUUAUUCUGAGUCAAGGAAAUUCAAAAGAUGAAGCCGUUAUAAAUAUGAUAGAAGAUUUAUUUGAUCUUUUGAUGGUCAUACAUGACACUGAUGAUGAAGGUAAAAGGCAAAUAGUGGAAAGUUUCGUACCUCGAAUUUGUGCCCUGGUUAUUGACUCAAGAGUGACUAUUUGUAUUCAGCAGGAGACUCUAAAAAAAAUGAAUGCUAUGCUUGACAAAAUGCCUCAAGAUGCUGGAAAAAUACUCUGUAACCAAGAAAUGUUAAUUCUCAUGAGUAGUAUGGGAGAAAGGAUUUUAGAUGCUGGAGAUUAUGACCUACAAGUAGGUAUCAUAGAAGCUUUAUGUAGAAUGACCACGGAAAAACAAAGGCAAGAACUGGCGUGUCAGUGGUUUUCAAUGGAUUUUAUUGCUAAUGCAUUUAAAGAAAUUAAAGACUCUGAAUUUGAAACAGAUUGUAGGAUAUUUCUUAACCUCGUAAAUGGCAUGCUUGGCGAUAAGAGAAGGGUCUUUACAUUCCCUUGUUUAUCAGCAUUUCUUGAUAAACAUGAGCUGCAAAUACCAUCAGAUGAGAAACUUGAGGAAUUUUGGAUAGAUUUUAAUCUUGGGAGCCAGACUCUAUCAUUCUACAUUGCUGGAGAUAAUGAUGAUCAUCCGUGGGAAGCAGUCACUGUGCCUGAGGAAAAAGUACAAAUAUACAGCAUUGAAGUGAAAGAAUCAAAGAAGCUACUGACUAUAAUUCUGAAAAAUAUUGUAAAAAUUAGUAAAGGAGAAGGGAAAGAAUUACUUUUAUAUUUUGAUGCAUCGUUAGAAAUCACUAAUGUGACACAAAAAAUUUUUGGUGCAAAUAAGUAUAGGGAAUUUACCAGAAAACAAGGCAUUUCAGUUGCCAAAACAUCUGUGCAUAUACUCUUUGAUGCAAGUGGAUCACAGAUUCUAGUCCCAGAAAGUCAAACCUCACCAGUUGAAGAGGAACUUGUUAGUUUGAAAGAAAAACUUACCCCUCAAGAGGAAUUAAGAAUAUGUGUUUACUGUGGCUGUUUUUCAUGGUUUAAGAUAAUUACUCCUAGCAAAAGAAAAAUGUCUGAAGCAUCAAUGAUUGUUCCCAGUUCAGAGAGAUACACUGUGAGAAGUCCAAUACUUCUAAUCAAUACAUCAACACCGCGAAGAGGAAGAAUUAAACCACCACUGCAGAUGACAAGUUCUACAGAAAAACCUGGUGUUUCCAAAACAUCGGAAAAUGGAGUGGAUAAUGCUGUAUCACUUAAAUCUAGAACAUCUCAAGAAAGAAAUAGAGGAGAUAAUACAGACAAACAUAUCAAAACUGCUAAAGUUGUAGAAAAUAAGGAUACUGAAUUCCCAAACCAAAAUUUUAGUAAUUACAGGCUAAUGUUUUGUAAUAUGAAGCAAGUGAACUUGUUUUCUAGGUUACCUGGUGCUUUAGACAACAUCUGCGGAAAUAAAAUGCACUCCAAAUGCGUAUGUUGGACACCUGUAACAAACAUUCAGCUUGGUAAUAACCGAAGAGAAAGUACUUCAUCAGGAGACACAUUUAAUCAAGAUACUAUUAUCAACAAAAAACUUGCUAAACAAAAAUCAUCCUCUUCAAUAUCUGAUGAUAAUUCUGAGGAAACAGGAAAGGUACAGUACAGGGAAGAAAGAAUGCAGCAUAACAAAGUAGAUGAAGCAGAAGUAGGAGUCUGCAAAGGCAGCAAACAGCAACUCGGUCGUCCUAAACACUUGGAGGAGGAAAGUACUGAAAAUACCAAGCAGAGUGAUUGGCGUAUUGAAUCUGAAACUACUUUUAAAUCAGUUCUCCUAAAUAAGACAGUUGAAGAAUCUGUGAUCUAUAGGAAAAAAUACAUAUUGUCAAAGGAUGUGAAUACUACUAUUUGUGAUAAAAGCCCUUCUCCUAGAAAAAAUGCAAACGGCGUUAGAAAAUCAGGGAAAAGACUGACGUCUGAACUUAGUUCCUGGGACUUGAAACCAAAAAAAACGAGAGAAAAGUUAAAAGGGAAAGGAUUUACUGAUGCAGCAGAAUCCUUGAUAAGCCAAAUUAAUAAGAGAUACAAACCAAAGGAUGGCAUAAAGUCCACAAGAAAAUUAAAGGAGUCUUUGACUGACAGUGGUUUUUCAAACAAAUCUGAUCUACAGCUCAGUAAGGUUCAGAAAAAAAGUUAUAGACAAUUGAAGACUACUUUCGUUAAUGUUACUUCUGAAUGCCCAUUGAACGAUGUUUACAAUUUUAAUUUGAAUGGAGCAGAUGAGCCUAUUAUAAAACUGGGAAUCCAGGAAUUUCAAGCUACAGCUAGAGAAGCCUGUGUGGAUACUUCAAUUGUAACAAAUCAUAAAAAGAAAAAUCUCUUUAGUGAUACUGACACAGAAUACAAUUGUGAUGACAUGAAGACAGAUAUUAGCUGGUUAAGAGAACCAAAAUCAAAACCACAGCUAAUAGACUACAGCAGAAAUAAAAAUGUGAAGAAACAUAAAAGUGGGAGAUCAAGACCAUGUUUGGAAAGGAGACAACCAAGAUCUAAAAUGACACCCAACAAAAAUAUCACCAAAAAGGUAGAUGAGACAGUUCCAGAGGGGAGAACCAGACUUCCACGAAGAGCAGCAAAAACCAAAAAAAAUUAUAAGGAUCUCUCAAAUUCAGAAUCAGAGAGUGAACAAGAAUUUUCACAUUCAUUUAAAGAAAAAUUGCUAGUAAAGGAGAGUAUACAUUCCAGAAGCAAAACUGUGAAGCUGCCAAAGAAACAGCAGGAUUCCUUUUCUGCCGAAAUACAGAAGGAUAUAUCAAAAGAAAGGAAAAACUCAUCUCUACUGAGAGAUACUCUACAAGAAAACAGCCUUGACCUAGCUCCUAUAUCUUUAUCUGGGAGUCCAUCAUCUAUAGAAGUAAUGAGAUGUACAGAAAAAGGAACAGAAAGGGAUUUUACUCAGGAUUAUGACUGUAUAACAAAAUCAGUAUCACCUUAUCCAAAAACUUCAUCACCUGAAUCCUUAAACAGUAAAUACAGCAUUGGAGGUCCAACAAAGUCACCCAAAAACAGUGAGGAAAAUUUACUGUGUACAAGAGAAAAUUGCUCACCAAUUCCACAAUCAUUCUUUUUGGUAAGAAAAAAAAAGUAUGUAUUUUCUCUUUUAUCAGAUAUACCUGAAGUGGGCAAAUCAUUUGCCUUCUACUAUCAUUUAAAAAAAAAAAUCUCAUUUUGUUUCUUUAAUAGGAUCAAAAAACUUGAUAAAUUCCAAUUCAUCAUCACAGAGGAGCUGGAGAAUUUUGAAAAAGAUUCACAGUCUUUAAAAGAUUUGGAGAAGGAAUUUGUAACUUUCAUUAUUUUACUUGUUAGGCUUCACCUUUUAAAAGCUUCAUUGGACAAGAAUGUCUUCUACAACACUGGUUAUGAAGAAACUAUUUUUACAUCUGAGAUGUGUUUGAUGAAAGAAAACAUGAAAAUGCUGCAAGACAGGCUUCUUAAGGAAAUGCAAGAGGAAGAGCUUCUUAAAGUACGCAGAGGACUGAUGUCAUUAUUCAUGGCUCAUGAAAGAAACAGUGUGUGACGCCUAGUUGUUACCAGCGAGUUUUAUCGAAUUAUGCUUUUCUGUGUAUAACUAAGGAAAUACUACAGUAGCUCUAUAAAGAGAAACACAUGUCACCCAGGCAAGACUGCCUUUGUAGGAACCUCCAAAUCCAAAGAAAUAUCUUAUCAAUGAAAGAACCUACAGUCACUAUAACAUGGUUCUGAGCCCAAAGGACUUUUGUCUGUACACUAUUACCCUUUUUAAAGAAAGUUUUGGGAAAUCAGACAAUAAAAGGAAUUGGCUUGUUUUGCA